RNAcentral lists this small RNA (510 nucleotides) under Pan troglodytes (chimpanzee). Its description in RNAcentral is "processed transcript". The record is from RNAcentral. Lineage: Eukaryota; Metazoa; Chordata; Mammalia; Primates; Hominidae.
UUGUAGUUUCGGUCUCACCACAGUCUAGAGCAUCGCUAGCUGCACGGUUUCAGCUGAAUCCUACAGACACUGCCAGGAAAUUAACCUCAUUCUUUAAAAAAAUAGGGGUGCACUUCGUCUUCGACACCGCCUUCUCAAGGCACUUCAGCCUCCUGGAGAGCCAGCGAGAGUUUGUGCGGCGAUUCCGAGGACAGGCCGACUGCAGACAGGCGCUGCCCCUGCUGGCCUCCGCCUGCCCAGGCUGGAUCUGCUAUGCCGAGAAGACCCACGGCAGUUUCAUCCUCCCCCACAUCAGCACCGCCCGGUCCCCGCAGCAGGUCAUGGGCUCCCUGGUCAAGGACUUCUUCGCCCAGCAGCAGGUAACGGUGUUGGGCCAGCCCCAGACUCGGGCUGGGGAGCGGCCAGAAGUGACUACGCUGGCCUCUUGCCAUGAGGCUGCAGGAAACAGAGUCCUCGCCGUGGUGUGCGGCCUUCCCGAGUACACCUCCACCCUUGUUCCCUCCUGGUUCA